AUUGAACGCUGGCGGAAUGCUUUACACAUGCAAGUCGAGCGGCAGCGCGGGGGCAACCCUGGCGGCGAGCGGCGAACGGGUGAGUAACACAUCGGAACGUACCCAGUGGUGGGGGAUAGCCCGGCGAAAGCCGGAUUAAUACCGCAUACGACCUGAGGGGGAAAGUGGGGGACCGCAAGGCCUCACGCCGUUGGAGCGGCCGAUGUUCGAUUAGCUAGUUGGUAGGGUAAAGGCCUACCAAGGCGACGAUCGAUAGCUGGUCUGAGAGGAUGAUCAGCCACACUGGGACUGAGACACGGCCCAGACUCCUACGGGAGGCAGCAGUGGGGAAUAUUGGACAAUGGGCGCAAGCCUGAUCCAGCAAUGCCGCGUGUGUGAAGAAGGCCUGCGGGUUGUAAAGCACUUUCAGUGGGGAAGAACAGAUUCGGGUCAAUACCCGGAGCCCUGACGUUACCCACAGAAGAAGCACCGGCUAACUCCGUGCCAGCAGCCGCGGUAAAGUAG
This 504-nucleotide ribosomal RNA is filed under the name uncultured bacterium. RNAcentral's name for it is "bacterial SSU rRNA". It matches the Rfam family "Bacterial small subunit ribosomal RNA", at positions 29 to 528 of the family's 1533-position model. The record is from RNAcentral.